RNAcentral lists this ribosomal RNA (364 nucleotides) under uncultured Sphingobacteriales bacterium. RNAcentral describes it as "bacterial SSU rRNA". It matches the Rfam family "Bacterial small subunit ribosomal RNA", at positions 1021 to 1382 of the family's 1533-position model. Lineage: Bacteria; Pseudomonadati; Bacteroidota; Sphingobacteriia; Sphingobacteriales. The record is from RNAcentral.
UUCGGACAAUAUACAAGGUGCUGCAUGGUUGUCGUCAGCUCGUGCCGUGAGGUGUCGGGUUAAGUCCCAUAACGAGCGCAACCCCUAUCAUUAGUUGCCAUCAGGUCAAGCUGGGGACUCUAAUGAAACUGCCUACGCAAGUAGUGAGGAAGGUGGGGGAUGACGUCAAAUCAUCAUGCCCCUUAUGACCUGGGCUACAAACGUGAUACAAUGGCUGGAACAAAGGGAUGCGAAGCAGUGAUGUGGAGCGAAAACCCAUAAAAACAGUCUCAGUUCGGAUUGAAGUCUGCAACUCGACUUCAUGAAGUCGGAAUCGCUAGUAAUCGCGGAUCAGAACGCCGCGGUGAAUACGUUCCCGGGCCUU